Molecule: ribosomal RNA, 178 nt
Filed under: Priestia megaterium
Lineage: Bacteria; Bacillati; Bacillota; Bacilli; Caryophanales; Bacillaceae
Also listed under: 1 other name
Description: partial 16S ribosomal RNA
Rfam family: Bacterial small subunit ribosomal RNA
Source: RNAcentral
UCUUCGGAGAGUUUGAUCCUGGCUCAGGAUGAACGCUGGCGGCGUGCCUAAUACAUGCAAGUCGAGCGAACUGAUUAGAAGCUUGCUUCUAUGACGUUAGCGGCGGACGGGUGAGUAACACGUGGGCAACCUGCCUGUAAGACUGGGAUAACUUCGGGAAACCGAAGCUAAUACCGGA